This 397-nucleotide ribosomal RNA is filed under the name Acinetobacter baumannii. Its description in RNAcentral is "eukaryotic LSU rRNA". It matches the Rfam family "Eukaryotic large subunit ribosomal RNA", at positions 1 to 408 of the family's 3401-position model. Lineage: Bacteria; Pseudomonadati; Pseudomonadota; Gammaproteobacteria; Moraxellales; Moraxellaceae. The record is from RNAcentral.
GGAUCAGGUAGGAAUACCCGCUGAACUUAAGCAUAUCAAUAAGCGGAGGAAAAGAAACCAACAGGGAUUGCCUUAGUAACGGCGAGUGAAGCGGCAACAGCUCAAAUUUGAAAUCUGGCCCUUGGGUCCGAAUUGUAAUUUGUAGAGGAUGAUUUUGGUGCGGUAUCUUCCGAGUUCCUUGGAACAGGACGCCUUAGAGGGUGAGAGCCCCGUACGGUUGAAUGCCUAGCCUCUGUAAAUCUCCUUCGACGAGUCGAGUAGUUUGGGAAUGCUGCUCUAAAUGGGAGGUAAAUUUCUUCUAAAGCUAAAUAUUGGCCAGAGACCGAUAGCGCACAAGUAGAGUGAUCGAAAGAUGAAAAGCACUUUGAAAAGAGGGUUAAAUAGCACGUGAAAUUGU